Homo sapiens (human) is the source of this 2869-nucleotide long non-coding RNA. RefSeq lists it as uncharacterized. The record is from RefSeq and is a predicted model, not a curated record. NCBI's taxonomy places the organism in Eukaryota, Metazoa, Chordata, Mammalia, Primates, Hominidae. The transcript has 3 exons.
GAAACCCAACAUUGACUAACUGAAGCUCGCCUAAGUGGGACGACCAAGCCAUCUCACCUUCACAAGUUGAAUGCCCUCAUGGACCACUGAGUGAAUCCAGCGUAUCACCCUAGUCUACACUUUGGCCAUUCUCUUCAAAAUAAGGAGCCUGAUGUUUCACAAAACCAUCUGUUGCCCUCUUCUGUUAUUACAGCUGAAUGCUUCAGAAAUCAUUCUGCACCACUAAAAAUAAAAUCCACGUAGAACCUGAAAGAACCAAUGCCAAUUACUGGAGCCAAAUUCAGGUUGUAUUUUUAAAAGUGUCUAUGAAACCAUCUAUAAAUAGAAAGCCUUUCCUGUUAUUUUUAAUUACUUCAUUUUAAUGGAAACAGACUCCAGUUGGUGAGGAUGUGGUUAGGAUGCCAUGGCACAGGGCCUGCCCUUCCGGACAGAAGGCUGACUCCAGCCAAAGGAAGCCAGGGGGUGGCUCAAAGCAGUCAAAGCAUCUUCAGUGCUUACUCUUGGUUGUUGAUCCCAAAGCCUCCUUAGAAACCUCCUAGCGUGUCUCAAACCCUUUCAAACAUGUGUAUAUUUCUAUAAGUCCAAUGACAAGUUGAUUUUCUUAUAUUUAAGGUAAAUGUGGACCACAGAGAGUUUCUCUGUGAGCUGGAAGAGGAAACAUUCCUGAGUCAAAUGCUAGGGCAGUGCCACAGCUCCAGGGUCUGCUGGCAGAGGGGUGUGUCUCAGACAGGCAUCUCUGAGAGGCAGUGUGCCAGUCCAGUCCCCCAGAGCCAGGGAGCCUCCCACCCCAUGCCGCCUCACAGGGCAGGAAGAGGGCACAUUACUGCCUCACACUGGCUUAGGGAGGACAGGGAACAAGGAGACAGCCCAGGGGACUCUGGCAGUGGCCCUCAUCCCCAGACCUGGAUGGGAACCUAAGAGUCUGGGCAAGUCCUAGCUGGUGGCUCUGGUCUGCCUGUGUGCCACCAUGUGCCACCAUGAGCCACAGGAAAUAAGCAGCACAUCAGAUGGGAAGAGUGAGGCCCUAAGAAAUCUAUUCUGCUUCUUGUGGCAAAAGCUGAGCCUUCAUGCCCCCGGCCUCAAACAGCUCCAUCUCCUGCUGCAAAAGUGUGCCCCGGAGCUACAGCCUGACUGGCCAGGCAGAUAUUAGAGUUCCUUGUCUCAGAUUUCCUGUCUGGGUCACUAACCUGAAGGCCAUGACAGACCAGGUAAUACUCAUCCACCAGUAUGAGGGUGUCACUCUGCCAGUUACCUACUGUAUGGCCUUGGGUGUGUUCCUUAGCCCCUUUGUGCCCCUCGCUUUCCUCAGCCAUAAGAGAGGGGAGAUAACUGCAGCUGUUCAUAGGGCAGUUGUGAGGAUUGAGUAAGUUAAGUCAGUAAGGACCCUGGGGUCAUUCCUGGCACAUAGUAAGCCCUAUAGAAGUUUUUGGCAAUUAGAUCAUUACAUGUACAAGUUAACGUAAUUGUGAAUAUCAUGGAUCCAUAGGAUGGACUGAUUGUGUGUUAACAGGAAUUUCUUCUAAUCAAUUAUGUUCUGUCUCUGACAACAGCGGUGAAAUGUGAAAUGUGAAAGUGUAGGUGUGUGUACUCCUGCUCAUGAAGGACAAGUUAGAUAACUUGCAAGUAUUAUGAUGCACCUUAUUUGUUCCCAGGAUGAUGAUUUUGUCAUGUUCCUGUCUCUGUCUCAUGGGAAGCAGGUAACGGGGCCAUCCAUUUGCAUGUGUAAAAUAAAACAAACCUAUAAAAGCAAAACGUGGCGACAAACCACAAGUGCUUCUAUCCUCAUGGUUUCCACGGUGCCUGUCAAUGAGCACUCAUCAUGGCCCUCUCCUGGCCUUCCCACUGAGUGAGAGCUCAUUUGACAGGCAAGACAGCAUCUCCAGGCCCUCUCCUGCCACUUGAAGGAGGCCUCUCAAUCUCUCUGGCCACUAGCACCCCAACUCACAAUGAGGAUUUUAACAAGAUGAACCCUAUAUCCCCACCUUGACUUCUAAAUUGUAUAUUGCAGAGAGAGUGCUGGAAAAAAAAAAGAAAUGAAAUGAAGUGAAAAAAAUGAAAGAAAAGAGAAAGGAUUUGCUAACCCAUGACAUUUAUGUCUAGAGGACUCACAAAUGAAAAUUUGAGAAAAAGACAUGGUUAUUUCUCAGCAAGUAGAGUUUCUUAAACAUCAUGUGCCAACCCCUCCUUCGAGGGUUGCUUGUAUCUUCUUGGGUGUCGGUGAUUCUGGUGCCCACGUUUCAUGAUGCUGACACAAUUCAUUUUAUUAUCAGUAGGAGAAGAGCAGUUACUCAGGACAGCCAUGCUAGCCUGGACUAAUUUGGAUAAAUUGUCCCACGCCAGAAAUAAACAGGCCAUCAACCCCAAAUGUCAAGCAUGACACAAGGAAGUUGGAAGGACCCACCAAACUCAAGGAUUCUCCUAGCACACAAACUGAGGAAGAACAAUACAUAGGACUCCAAGACUGGAGAUGUUCCUUCAGUAUGCUAUCUUUUGUAUUCAUGCUGGGGUGCAGACGGGGAAUUAGAAGCAAAGCACUGUAGAGUCCCUUUUGGAAUAUUGACCAAUAAUUUUAUAAAAUGUACAAUUUUAUUCAAAAUUAAUCAUAGGUCAUUGGAGUGGAUCUCAUAUGAGUGGCUUGGUGCUGUCCUCCCAGUAAUGAAUGAGUUCUCAUUCUUAAUUCAUUCAAGAGCUGGUUGUUUAAAAGAGCCUGGUAUUUCUCUUGCUCCCUCUCUUGCCAUGUGACACGCCAGCUUCCCCUUUGCCUUCUGCCCUGAGUAAAAGCUUCCACACCAGAAGACGAACAGAUGUUUGUGCCCGGCUUGUACAGCCUGCAGAACCGUGAGCCAAAUAAACCUCUUUUCUCUAUAAA